CCAUCCACCAAUCAGCAUGCUCACAGCCAUUCACUGUCUGGCUACAGGCUGGGAGGCAGGUAGAGAAUGCUGCCUCACUGCUCUGAUUGUGUGACCACCAUCUGCCCCUGCUCUAAGGCCCCUAGAAUUGUAGAUCCCUGGACAGCUGCCCAGUGUGGCGGGCUUAUAUAAGAAGAAGAACGGAAGCUGAGUGCUGCAUCCCAGGUACAGUGGCUGUGAUCCACAGCGCUGCUGAUUCCCGAGGACAGGAACAAAUCUAACCCAGGUGUAUUUGUAUGAAUCUAACAGACACCAUGGUGAAAUUACCGAAACAGUGCAUUGGAUACGAUGAAAAGGCAAGAGAAAACAAUACAAGAGGACAGAUGGCCUGGCUAGAAUACAGCAUACGACCACAUUGAACAUAGGUUCCAUCUGCAGGACCCUUACAACUGAGGACAGCAGGAGCUGGGGGCUAUGUGGAGGGAAUGCUGUCACUUUUGUGGGGGAGGGACCCCAAUUCAUUGUUCUCUAAAAAACCCUUUGCACUCAGCUGACAUUCUUAAAUAGAUUAGUAAACACCCCUCUAUGAUACCUAACUUGUGUGGUGCCACACUAGCUGCUGUUAGCCUAAUAAAAGAGUAUUGUUUAGUGCAUAAACAAAAUGGAUGCAGUAAAGUCAGAAUUGUGCUGUUGCAGAGUGACCUUGCAGGGGGACAGGGUGUUCAUGAUAAGCAUUCAGCAGAAUCAUCUGUAGAGAGCUGACAAAGAAAUGUUUCUGUAAUCACACAGCUAUUGUGGUCUAGUCCACCCCUUAAUUCCUAGAAUUGUAGCAUGUGGUAAAAAAAUUCUUAAUGUUUUCUGAUUUGUGAACAAGUAUUGAUUGUUCUCACACACAGCAGUGCUGCGUCUCUACCCUCUAAUAACACAUGAUGCCUUCACUGUUUUUUUGUUUUGCUUUGUAGAACUGGAAAUGAAGUUACCAUCUGUAAUAAAGCAGGAUUCAUCAUA
Molecule: long non-coding RNA, 987 nt
Organism: Pseudophryne corroboree (corroboree frog)
Lineage: Eukaryota; Metazoa; Chordata; Amphibia; Anura; Myobatrachidae
Exons: 2
Source: RefSeq, a predicted model, not a curated record